GAAAAAAAAAAAAAGAGGAAAAAGAAAAAGAAAAAAAAUCUGUGAAGUCUGUGUUCCAAUUUUGCGCCACUCUUCCACCAUUUCUCCCCUUUUCGAUUUCCCGUUUUCCUCUCUCCUCCUUUCCCUCCACUCAGCGUCCCCUUCAAAAUUCUCCAUUUUCCUACACAUUUCUGCUCCAUUUACUCAUUCAGUCAAUGCUUUUCUAGCUUUCUUCAAUGGCGGGAGGCCGAUUGACGCAUUUUCUCCGUCGCUACUCGUCCAAGCACACCAUUUCUCAGGUUAGGGUUUUACUCUCGAACCCUCUAUGUCAUUUUCACAAUUAUUCUUGUCCAAGUCAUGGUUUCGCUUCGUCUUGGAAUUCAAAGUCCUUAGUUAGACCUACGUCGUUGUCUAUACAGCAAAAACUUUAUCUUUAUGGUGCUAAGGGGCUUUCGACUUCCAAUGAGAGUGAAGUUAAUGGGGGGAAAUAUGAUGAUGUUAUUGAUAAUAGUGAUAUAGUUGCUAAUUUAGAUGGUUUAAUUGAUUCUGAUAUUGAUGAUAAUGAUAUAGUUGCUAAUUUAGAGGGUGUAAUUGAUUCUGAUAUCGAUGAUAGUGAUAUAGUUGCUAAUUUAGAUGGUUUAAUUGAUUCUGAUAUCAUCAAUGAGCAUGAUGUUGAUUAUGAUGACUUAAGUUCUUCUAGAAAGUAUGAAGGAUUUGAGCAUGUUGCUUCUCUUGAUCCUGCCGAAGUUUAUAGGCAGCUUUGUGAGUUGCCCAGGGAUGGGAAACUAGGUAGGGAAGAUUGGGAGUUGUUGCAUGAUAUAUUUGGGCGGUUAUCGCGGUCUGCUUGGGCGUCUAAUCAAGCUUUGGCUAUAUACAUUGGGGCGUCAUUUUUUCCAACUGCAGUACAUAAAUUCAGGGCCUUUUUCAUUAAACAUUGCCGGGAUGAUAUUGCGAAGUACUUACUUUCACUGGGACCUAGUGAUGAAGCGGAUAAGUUUUUAUUUCCUGUUUUUGUUGAAUUUUGCCUUGAGAAUUUUCCUGACGAGAUUACGAAGUUCCGGAGUAUGGUUGAUUCUGCUGAUCUUACUAAACCUUACACCUGGUUCCCCUUUGCGAGGGCAAUGAAACGCAAGAUUAUUUACCAUUGUGGGCCUACUAAUAGUGGGAAGACUUACAAUGCUUUGCAACGGUUUAUGGAAGCAAAGAAAGGGAUAUAUUGUAGUCCACUCAGGUUGUUGGCGAUGGAAGUUUUUGACAAGGUUAAUGCUCUUGGUGUUUAUUGUAGUAUGCUUACAGGACAGGAGAAGAAGCGUGUGCCCUUUUCCAACCAUGUUGCCUGCACGGUUGAAAUGGCAUCCACUGAUGAAAUGUAUGAUGUUGCUGUAAUUGAUGAGAUACAAAUGAUGGCUGACUCUUGCAGAGGAUUUGCGUGGACUAGGGCAUUGCUCGGUUUAAAGGCUGAUGAAAUACAUUUAUGUGGCGAUCCAAGUGUUCUAAAUAUUGUGCGGAAGAUUUGUUCAGAUACAGGAGACGAGUUGGUGGAACAGCACUAUGGUAGAUUUAAACCAUUGGUAGUUGAAGCUAAGACAUUGCAAGGGGAUCUUCGAAAUGUUAAGUCUGGUGAUUGUAUAGUCGCGUUCUCCAGGAGGGAGAUUUUUGAGGUCAAAUUGACUAUUGAAAAGCAAACAAAGCACCGUUGCUGUGUUAUUUAUGGUGCUUUGCCGCCAGAGACUCGCAGGCAGCAAGCUACUCUGUUCAAUGACCAAGAUAACGAAUAUGAUGUCUUAGUUGCUAGUGAUGCUGUAGGAAUGGGAUUGAAUCUUAACAUAAGAAGGGUAGUAUUCUAUACUCUUUCAAAGUACAAUGGGGACAAGGUUGUUCCCGUUCCAGCCUCACAGGUGAAACAAAUUGCAGGUAGGGCUGGUAGGAGAGGAAGUAUCUAUCCAGAUGGUCUCUGCACUACCUUGAAUUUGGAAGAUUUGGACUAUCUAAUUGAAUGUUUAAAACAACCUUUUGAGGAAGUUCAGAAAGUUGGUCUUUUUCCUUCUUAUGAGCAAGUUGAGUAUUUUGCGGGACAACUAUCUAAUACAACUUUCGCCCAACUUCUUGAAAAGUUUGCUGAAAAUUGUCGCCUUGAUGGAUCUUACUUUUUGUGUCAACAUGCUGGUAUAAAGAAGGUGGCUAAUAUGUUAGAGAAAGUUCAGGGUUUAUCACUUGAAGAUCGCUAUAAUUUUUGUUUUGCUCCUGUUAACAUUCGAGACCCUAAGGCAAUGUACCAUCUCCUCCGGUUUGCUUCGUCAUACAGCCAAGAGCUUCCUGUCAAUAUAGCAAUGGGCAUUCCUAAGGACUCUGCUAGAAAUGACUCAGAGCUACUGGAUCUUGAGACUAAGCACCAGGUUUGUUCUAUGUAUAUGUGGUUGUCAAACCAUUUUCAUGAAGAAAAAUUUCCGUAUAAGCUGAGGGCAGAAUCUAUGGCAUCUAGUAUUGCUGAAUUAUUGGGAGAAUCUUUAAGCAAAGUAUCCUGGGAACCUGAAUCGAGGGGCGAAAGUAAAAAGAAUCCUGAACAGAAGGAUGGAUAUGAAAGACCACAGUCACUUAUACAAAUAUUUGACAAGAAAAGGAAUGAUAAGUCCUCCAUUCCAGAUAAAUUUGAUAAAAAUAAGGUGGCUGCAAAGUUUACUAGAUGAUUCCGAAGAGAGCUUGGAGCCUUGAAGGAUAGAGAAACGUUGAAGAGAGAGAAAAUCCGUAUGAAGGAGAAGCCACCAGCACCAGUACACCACUACCUCGUCAACGAGCCCCAACCGCCACCCUUGUCAACUAACCUCGGCCCCACCCUCACCAACGACCUCCACCCACCACCAGUCACGCGAUAUAAAUCGGCCAAAACCACCUCAAAAACUCUAACCCUAACACCAACUUCUGUCAUGCGGUACAAAUACGACUUUAAAUGGUCGAAUUCGGCCAUGAAAACUCCAGAUCUGGAGUCGUGAUGGUCGAAUUUCACCAAAAAAUCCAGUGAAGGGCGGGUUGCGAUAGGAAGUGAUUUGGUUCGAAAGAUGAGAAUCAGUGAUCGGAUAAGGAAGCUUCAAGAGCUAGUUCCCGACAUGGAUAAGCAAUGUUGUUGUUUGAUUUGUAACUAUUCUGGCUCCAGUUGACUCUCCCAAUACUGAAGGUGUUGAUUCAGCUUUGCCUAUGCUUGUCACAAAGGAUACUCGAGGUAGAUGGGCGUUGUCCUGGAUGCAACAAAGCAAUAUGAUUUUGAAGGCAGGUGCAACUUUAGAUGUUGAGAUGAUUCGCUCUUGCAGCAAGAAUACAUGGUUUUAAGAGACUUGUCUAUACCAUGAUAUGUAUAUAGGCUUCUAUCAUAUAAAAAUUCUGUGAAGGUCGUCGACCUACGACGACUUUAAAACCUUAGAUAAAUCUGGACCGUUAAAUUAUGUUAAUUAAAUCGUAGCCAUCCAUCUAAUAAAUUA
Molecule: RNA transcript, 3452 nt
Organism: Spinacia oleracea (spinach)
Lineage: Eukaryota; Viridiplantae; Streptophyta; Magnoliopsida; Caryophyllales; Amaranthaceae
Gene name: DExH-box ATP-dependent RNA helicase DExH18, mitochondrial
Exons: 6
Source: RefSeq, a predicted model, not a curated record